UGUAUAGGGACACCUCCCACUAUCUCAGAUUGGCUCCAAGCUUUGUCUAACCUGGCCUUGGAUACUUCCAGGGAUGGGGUAGCCACAGCUUCUUUGGGCAACCCAUGCCAGGACCUCCCCACCUUCACAGGGAGCAAUUUCUUCCCAAUAUCCAAUCUAAAUCUGCUCUCUGCCCAUUUGAAGCCGUUCCCCCUUGUUCUGUCACUCCAUGCCCCUGCCAAAAGCCCUUCUCCAGCUUUCUUGUAGCUGCUUAGCUGCAGUGACUUCACAUGUAUAUGCAUCUGAUGGGGUUUUGUCAUUAUUUUUUACUAUUCUCCUUUACCUUUCCAAAGAGUAAACUACACCUGGAGCUGAGUUAUCACAGAAGGGUUUGGGCUGGUUCUCUAAAGGUGGGUUAGCCCUGACCCUCGUUUAGAGGACUGGCUUCAGCUGGGUGUGGGAAUGCUGGGUAAGGUGCCAGGUGUUUCUCCUUUCCCAUCAGGAGAGAGCAGCUCCCUGAUUUCUCUGAUGGUGGCUGGAGGAAGAUGGUCACCCAUUCUGGGGGAUUUUCUUUGUACUCCUGUGAGGGGAAGCUUUCAGGAAUUUGCUGUGGAAUUUGGAGUGCUUGAGCCUUGGUGGGAACGAGCAGAUUUUCCUGUGAGCAGUCUACAAAAGAGUCACCUGUCAUUGCAAAAGGAGGAGGAAGAUAGGAAAGAGCAACUUUUGGCUUAGGUCGUGUCCUUGAGGUGUGGCUGUGGCUGUGACAAGCAAGCAAGCUGGGCACAGAGGAACUGUGACUCUGGUGGCACCACUGAGGUCCCUGAGUGGGCACCGUCCCUCAUCCCGCCGGGCCAGCAGUAAAAGCGAGUGAGCCACCGUUGCUACAUUUAACACUUGUACAUUUUUAUUUAGUUAAAUCAGCCAUUGUACACAUUGCAGCUAUGUAUUGUUAGUGUUGUAUCUUUUUAAUUUUUAACUAAUACAUGCCCUCAUAGAUAUAUUCAAUUAGUGUUAUCACCAUGGGAACAAGAUGCUGAUUCGUCAACUUAAAAUUCACUUCUUCUCACAGUAUUCAAGUUCUCUGAUAACACAGCAAAAAAUCAAAAUAAGAGGUGAAUAACCAUUAUGCUGUUACACAGAACAUCAUCUGCACCGCAAAUAACACAACAGAAAUGCAUUUCUUGAGAGCCCCAUCCUUGAAGACCCUCCUGUGCUGUCUCGGACAGUCAGGAAGCCACGAUGCGCUGUGAGAUGUUUCAUCAGGGGUCUCAUUCGAUUUGGCUGCCAAAACACUUUUUUCUUUAAGUUUCUUUUC
Passer domesticus (house sparrow) is the source of this 1294-nucleotide long non-coding RNA. RefSeq lists it as uncharacterized. The transcript has 2 exons. The record is from RefSeq and is a predicted model, not a curated record. NCBI's taxonomy places the organism in Eukaryota, Metazoa, Chordata, Aves, Passeriformes, Passeridae.